Molecule: ribosomal RNA, 860 nt
Filed under: uncultured rumen bacterium
Lineage: Bacteria
Description: bacterial SSU rRNA
Rfam family: Bacterial small subunit ribosomal RNA
Source: RNAcentral
GUUUUAACGCUGGCCGGCGUGCCUAACACAUGCAAGUCGAACGGACGAAGGGAGCUUGCUCCCCUAGUUAGUGGCGAACGGGUGAGUAACGCGUGAGCAACCUGCCUUUCAGAGGGGGACAACGGUCGGAAACGACCGCUAAUACCGCAUGAAGCAAUCGGACCGCAUGAUCUGAUUGUUAAAGAUUUAUCGCUGAAAGAUGGGCUCGCGUCUGAUUAGAUAGUUGGCGGGGUAACGGCCCACCAAGUCGACGAUCAGUAGCCGGACUGAGAGGUUGAACGGCCACAUUGGGACUGAGAUACGGCCCAGACUCCUACGGGAGGCAGCAGUGGGGAAUAUUGGGCAAUGGGGGAAACCCUGACCCAGCAACGCCGCGUGAAGGAAGAAGGCUUUCGGGUUGUAAACUUCUUUUACCGAGGACGAAGAACGUGACGGUACUCGGAGAAAAAGCCACGGCUAACUACGUGCCAGCAGCCGCGGUAAUACGUAGGUGGCAAGCGUUGUCCGGAAUUACUGGGUGUAAAGGGCGUGUAGGCGGAGCAGCAAGUCAGAAGUGAAAUCUCCGGGCUUAACCCGGAAACUGCUUUUGAAACUGUUGCCCUUGAGUAUCGGAGAGGCAGGCGGAAUUCCUAGUGUAGCGGUGAAAUGCGUAGAUAUUAGGAGGAACACCAGUGGCGAAGGCGGCCUGCUGGACGACAACUGACGCUGANGCGCGAAAGCGUGGGGAGCAACAGAUUAGAUACCCUGUAGUCACGCGUAACGAUGAUACUAGUGUGGGGGGACUGACCCCUCGUGCGANUUACCCAUNAGUNUCCCCCUGGGAGUCCAUCNCAGAUGAACUNAAGGAUUGCGGGGCCCCC